Molecule: ribosomal RNA, 489 nt
Filed under: uncultured bacterium
Lineage: Bacteria
Description: partial 16S ribosomal RNA
Rfam family: Bacterial small subunit ribosomal RNA
Source: RNAcentral
AUUGAACGCUGGCGGCAGGCUUAACACAUGCAAGUCGAGCGGUAGCACAAGAGAGCUUGCUCUCUGGGUGACGAGCGGCGGACGGGUGAGUAAUGUCUGGGAAACUGCCUGAUGGAGGGGGAUAACUACUGGAAACGGUAGCUAAUACCGCAUAACGUCGCAAGACCAAAGAGGGGGACCUUCGGGCCUCUUGCCAUCAGAUGUGCCCAGAUGGGAUUAGCUAGUAGGUGGGGUAAUGGCUCACCUAGGCGAGAAUCCCUAGCUGGUCUGAGAGGAUGACCAGCCACACUGGAACUGAGACACGGUCCAGACUCCUACGGGAGGCAGCGGUGGGGAAUAUUGCAAAAUGGGCGCAAGCCUGAUGCAGCCAUGCCGCGUGUGUGAAGAAGGCCUUCGGGUGGUAAAGCACUUUCAGCGAGGAGGAAGGUGGUGAACUUAAUACGUGCAUCAAUUGACGUUACUCGCAGAAGAAGCACCGGCUAACUCCGU